ACAGUACAAACUGAGCAGGCGAUCCAUACAGGGGUGAUACUCAGUAUGAAUGGGGCCGGGCCGCGGACGCGGCAGCAGAUGAACAGGAAGAAUCUGUGGGACAGU
RNAcentral lists this non-coding RNA (105 nucleotides) under uncultured Muricomes sp. RNAcentral describes it as "NiCo riboswitch". It matches the Rfam family "NiCo (Nickel/Cobalt) riboswitch aptamer". The record is from RNAcentral. Lineage: Bacteria; Bacillati; Bacillota; Clostridia; Lachnospirales; Lachnospiraceae.